Molecule: ribosomal RNA, 849 nt
Filed under: Terrabacter aerolatus
Lineage: Bacteria; Bacillati; Actinomycetota; Actinomycetes; Micrococcales; Intrasporangiaceae
Description: bacterial SSU rRNA
Rfam family: Bacterial small subunit ribosomal RNA
Source: RNAcentral
GCAGUCGAACGGUGAUGAUGGGAGCUUGCUUCUGUCUGAUCAGUGGCGAACGGGUGAGUAACACGUGAGUAACCUGCCCCAGACUCUGGGAUAACCCCGGGAAACCGGAGCUAAUACCGGAUAUGACACCAAUCCGCAUGGGUAUGGUGUGGAAAGUUUUUCGGUCUGGGAUGGACUCGCGGCCUAUCAGCUUGUUGGUGAGGUAGUGGCUCACCAAGGCGACGACGGGUAGCCGGCCUGAGAGGGCGACCGGCCACACUGGGACUGAGACACGGCCCAGACUCCUACGGGAGGCAGCAGUGGGGAAUAUUGCACAAUGGGCGCAAGCCUGAUGCAGCGACGCCGCGUGAGGGAUGACGGCCUUCGGGUUGUAAACCUCUUUCAGCAGGGAAGAAGCGAAAGUGACGGUACCUGCAGAAGAAGCACCGGCUAACUACGUGCCAGCAGCCGCGGUAAUACGUAGGGUGCGAGCGUUGUCCGGAAUUAUUGGGCGUAAAGAGCUUGUAGGUGGUUUGUCGCGUCUGCUGUGAAAAUCCGAGGCUCAACCUCGGACUUGCAGUGGGUACGGGCAGACUAGAGUGUGGUAGGGGAGACUGGAAUUCCUGGUGUAGCGGUGGAAUGCGCAGAUAUCAGGAGGAACACCGAUGGCGAAGGCAGGUCUCUGGGCCAUUACUGACACUGAGAAGCGAAAGCAUGGGGAGCGAACAGGAUUAGAUACCCUGGUAGUCCAUGCCGUAAACGUUGGGAACUAGGUGUGGGUCGCAUUCCACGUGAUCCGUGCCGCAGCUACGCAUUAAGUUCCCCGCCUGGGGAGUACGGCCGCAAGGCUAAAACUCAAAGGAAUUGACG